CAAGUGGGCCCUGUGACAGGGUUGGAGAUGGCAGCCGGCGGCGGAGGCAGCCUCGAGCUGGAAAAUCAAUAGGUGAUCAGCGGUCCAGGGGCACGCUGUUCAUCAGGCAUGUCAAGUUGACAACCAGGAUUAGCCACCAUGAUGAGGAACUUUCUGAGACUCGUGGAAAGUUCUUCUCUCAGAGCCUGUUCCUGGGAGGGGCAGUGUGAGGAACCCGCUCAGCACCAACUCUCUCCAGCAUGUUACUAUCCUUCAAGUCUGAACUCUUUCAGACACACGGAGCUGUGGGUGCAGUCUGCUGUGUCAGCG
Meriones unguiculatus (Mongolian gerbil) is the source of this 309-nucleotide long non-coding RNA. RefSeq lists it as uncharacterized. Lineage: Eukaryota; Metazoa; Chordata; Mammalia; Rodentia; Muridae. The record is from RefSeq and is a predicted model, not a curated record. The transcript is spliced from 3 exons.